AGUCGAGCGAUGAAAUUUUGACAGAUCCCUUCGGGGAGAAGAUAAAAUGGAUUAGCGGCGGACGGGUGAGUAACACGUGAGUAACCUGCCUUAGACAUUGGGAUAGCCUUGGGAAACCGGGAUUAAUACCGAAUAAAAUCACAGAUACACAUGUAUCCAUGAUCAAAACUCCGGUGGUCUAAGAUGGACUCGCGUCCCAUUAGCUAGUUGGUGAGGUAACGGCCCACCAAGGCGACGAUGGGUAGCCGGCCUGAGAGGGUGAACGGCCACAUUGGAACUGAGAAACGGUCCAAACUCCUACGGGAGGCAGCAGUGGGGAAUAUUGCACAAUGGAGGGAACUCUGAUGCAGCGACGCCGCGUGAACGAAGAAGGCUUUCGAGUCAUAAAGUUCUUUUAUAUGGGAAGAUAAUGACGGUACCAUAAGAAAAAGCCCCGGCUAACUACGUGCCAGCAGCCGCGGUAAUACGUAGGGGGCUAGCGUUGUCCGGAAUCACUGGGCGUAAAGGGUUCGCAGGCGGAAAUGCAAGUCAGAUGUAAAAGGCAGUAGCUUAACUACUGUAAGCAUUUGAAACUGCAUAUCUUGAGAAGAGUAGAGGUAAGUGGAAUUUUUAGUGUAGCGGUGAAAUGCGUAGAUAUUAAAAAGAAUACCGGUGGCGAAGGCGACUUACUGGGCUCAUUCUGACGCUGAGGAACGAAAGCGUGGGUAGCAAACAGGAUUAGAUACCCUGGUAGUCCACGCUGUAAACGAUGAGUGCUAGGUGUCGGCUUAAGUCGGUGCCGCAGUUAACACAAUAAGCACUCCGCCUGGGGAGUACGUGCGCA
Molecule: ribosomal RNA, 823 nt
Filed under: uncultured bacterium
Lineage: Bacteria
Description: bacterial SSU rRNA
Rfam family: Bacterial small subunit ribosomal RNA
Source: RNAcentral